UUAAGUUAUUAAGGGCGCACGGUGGAUGCCUUGGCACUAGAAGCCGAUGAAGGACGUUACUAACGACGAUAUGCUUUGGGGAGCUGUAAGUAAGCUUUGAUCCAGAGAUUUCCGAAUGGGGAAACCCAGCAUGAGUUAUGUCAUGUUAUCGAUAUGUGAAUACAUAGCAUAUUAGAAGGCACACCCGGAGAACUGAAACAUCUUAGUACCCGGAGGAAGAGAAAGAAAAUUCGAUUCCCUUAGUAGCGGCGAGCGAAACGGGAAGAGCCCAAACCAACAAGCUUGCUUGUUGGGGUUGUAGGACACUCUAUACGGAGUUACAAAGGACGACAUUAGACGAAUCAUCUGGAAAGAUGAAUCAAAGAAGGUAAUAAUCCUGUAGUCGAAAAUGUUGUCUCUCUUGAGUGGAUCCUGAGUACGACGGAGCACGUGAAAUUCCGUCGGAAUCUGGGAGGACCAUCUCCUAAGGCUAAAUACUCUCUAGUGACCGAUAGUGAACCAGUACCGUGAGGGAAAGGUGAAAAGCACCCCGGAAGGGGAGUGAAAUAGAACCUGAAACCGUGUGCUUACAAGUAGUCAGAGCCCGUUAAUGGGUGAUGGCGUGCCUUUUGUAGAAUGAACCGGCGAGUUACGAUUUGAUGCAAGGUUAAGCAGUAAAUGUGGAGCCGUAGCGAAAGCGAGUCUGAAUAGGGCGUUUAGUAUUUGGUCGUAGACCCGAAACCAGGUGAUCUACCCUUGGUCAGGUUGAAGUUCAGGUAACACUGAAUGGAGGACCGAACCGACUUACGUUGAAAAGUGAGCGGAUGAACUGAGGGUAGCGGAGAAAUUCCAAUCGAACCUGGAGAUAGCUGGUUCUCUCCGAAAUAGCUUUAGGGCUAGCCUCAAGUGAUGAUUAUUGGAGGUAGAGCACUGUUUGGACGAGGGGCCCCUCUCGGGUUACCGAAUUCAGACAAACUCCGAAUGCCAAUUAAUUUAACUUGGGAGUCAGAACAUGGGUGAUAAGGUCCGUGUUCGAAAGGGAAACAGCCCAGACCACCAGCUAAGGUCCCAAAAUAUAUGUUAAGUGGAAAAGGAUGUGGCGUUGCCCAGACAACUAGGAUGUUGGCUUAGAAGCAGCCAUCAUUUAAAGAGUGCGUAAUAGCUCACUAGUCGAGUGACACUGCGCCGAAAAUGUACCGGGGCUAAACAUAUUACCGAAGCUGUGGAUUGUCCUUUGGACAAUGGUAGGAGAGCGUUCUAAGGGCGUUGAAGCAUGAUCGUAAGGACAUGUGGAGCGCUUAGAAGUGAGAAUGCCGGUGUGAGUAGCGAAAGACGGGUGAGAAUCCCGUCCACCGAUUGACUAAGGUUUCCAGAGGAAGGCUCGUCCGCUCUGGGUUAGUCGGGUCCUAAGCUGAGGCCGACAGGCGUAGGCGAUGGAUAACAGGUUGAUAUUCCUGUACCACCUAUAAUCGUUUUAAUCGAUGGGGGGACGCAGUAGGAUAGGCGAAGCGUGCGAUUGGAUUGCACGUCUAAGCAGUAAGGCUGAGUAUUAGGCAAAUCCGGUACUCGUUAAGGCUGAGCUGUGAUGGGGAGAAGACAUUGAGUCUUCGAGUCGUUGAUUUCACACUGCCGAGAAAAGCCUCUAGAUAGAAAAUAGGUGCCCGUACCGCAAACCGACACAGGUAGUCAAGAUGAGAAUUCUAAGGUGAGCGAGCGAACUCUCGUUAAGGAACUCGGCAAAAUGACCCCGUAACUUCGGGAGAAGGGGUGCUCUUUAGGGUUAACGCCCAGAAGAGCCGCAGUGAAUAGGCCCAAGCGACUGUUUAUCAAAAACACAGGUCUCUGCUAAACCGUAAGGUGAUGUAUAGGGGCUGACGCCUGCCCGGUGCUGGAAGGUUAAGAGGAGUGGUUAGCUUCUGCGAAGCUACGAAUCGAAGCCCCAGUAAACGGCGGCCGUAACUAUAACGGUCCUAAGGUAGCGAAAUUCCUUGUCGGGUAAGUUCCGACCCGCACGAAAGGCGUAACGAUUUGGGCACUGUCUCAACGAGAGACUCGGUGAAAUCAUAGUACCUGUGAAGAUGCAGGUUACCCGCGACAGGACGGAAAGACCCCGUGGAGCUUUACUGUAGCCUGAUAUUGAAAUUCGGCACAGCUUGUACAGGAUAGGUAGGAGCCUUUGAAACGUGAGCGCUAGCUUACGUGGAGGCGCUGGUGGGAUACUACCCUAGCUGUGUUGGCUUUCUAACCCGCACCACUUAUCGUGGUGGGAGACAGUGUCAGGCGGGCAGUUUGACUGGGGCGGUCGCCUCCUAAAAGGUAACGGAGGCGCUCAAAGGUUCCCUCAGAAUGGUUGGAAAUCAUUCAUAGAGUGUAAAGGCAUAAGGGAGCUUGACUGCGAGACCUACAAGUCGAGCAGGGUCGAAAGACGGACUUAGUGAUCCGGUGGUUCCGCAUGGAAGGGCCAUCGCUCAACGGAUAAAAGCUACCCCGGGGAUAACAGGCUUAUCUCCCCCAAGAGUUCACAUCGACGGGGAGGUUUGGCACCUCGAUGUCGGCUCAUCGCAUCCUGGGGCUGUAGUCGGUCCCAAGGGUUGGGCUGUUCGCCCAUUAAAGCGGUACGCGAGCUGGGUUCAGAACGUCGUGAGACAGUUCGGUCCCUAUCCGUCGUGGGCGUAGGAAAUUUGAGAGGAGCUGUCCUUAGUACGAGAGGACCGGGAUGGACAUACCUCUGGUGUACCAGUUGUCGUGCCAACGGCAUAGCUGGGUAGCUAUGUGUGGACGGGAUAAGUGCUGAAAGCAUCUAAGCAUGAAGCCCCCCUCAAGAUGAGAUUUCCCAACUUCGGUUAUAAGAUCCCUCAAAGAUGAUGAGGUUAAUAGGUUCGAGGUGGAAGCAUGGUGACAUGUGGAGCUGACGAAUACUAAUCGAUCGAAGACUUAAUCAA
RNAcentral lists this ribosomal RNA (2921 nucleotides) under Staphylococcus aureus. RNAcentral describes it as "23S ribosomal RNA". It matches the Rfam family "Bacterial large subunit ribosomal RNA". Lineage: Bacteria; Bacillati; Bacillota; Bacilli; Caryophanales; Staphylococcaceae. The record is from RNAcentral.